Molecule: transfer RNA, 73 nt
Filed under: Cordylochernes scorpioides
Lineage: Eukaryota; Metazoa; Arthropoda; Arachnida; Pseudoscorpiones; Chernetidae
Description: tRNA-Phe
Rfam family: tRNA
About the family: Transfer RNA (tRNA) molecules are approximately 80 nucleotides in length.
Source: RNAcentral
GUCGAAAUGGUUCAUCUGCCAAAGCUUUAGAUUGAAGAUCUAAAUGUCCCUGGUUCGAACCCAUGUUUCGCCA